UUCUAGCGGCGGACGGGUGAGUAACGCGUGAGCAACCUGCCUUUAUCAGGGGGAUAACGCAUCGAAAGAUGUGCUAAUACCGCGUAAGACCACAGCUUCACAUGGAGCGGGGGUCAAAGGAGCAAUCCGGAUAAAGAUGGGCUCGCGUCCGAUUAGCUAGUUGGUGAGAUAACAGCCCACCAAGGCGACGAUCGGUAGCCGACCUGAGAGGGUGAUCGGCCACAUUGGAACUGAGAGACGGUCCAGACUCC
RNAcentral lists this ribosomal RNA (251 nucleotides) under uncultured Clostridia bacterium. Its description in RNAcentral is "partial 16S ribosomal RNA". It matches the Rfam family "Bacterial small subunit ribosomal RNA", at positions 90 to 339 of the family's 1533-position model. The record is from RNAcentral. Lineage: Bacteria; Bacillati; Bacillota; Clostridia.